Molecule: small nuclear RNA, 140 nt
Filed under: Branchiostoma floridae (Florida lancelet)
Lineage: Eukaryota; Metazoa; Chordata; Leptocardii; Amphioxiformes; Branchiostomatidae
Description: U4 spliceosomal RNA
Rfam family: U4 spliceosomal RNA
About the family: U4 small nuclear RNA (U4 snRNA) is a component of the major U2-dependent spliceosome.
Source: Rfam by way of RNAcentral
AGCUUUGCGCAGAGGCGAUAUCAUAGCCGAUGAGGGCCACCCGAGGCGUGAUUAUUGCUAGUUGAAAACUUUUCCCAAUACCCCGCCUGGAGGACGUGAAAUACCGUCCGACACGGCAAUUUUUAAGAUCUCGAACAGAG